GACUGGAUUUGACAGCAGGUCGGAGUGGCAGAUAAGCAUGCAGUGCGCCUGAGAGUGGGCACUUUAAUCUCGGCUUUCAGAAAUUUAAUUGGCGAAAACAACUACGCUCUCGCUGCUUGAUUGAAGUACAGUAGAUCGGCUUAAUCCCGGCUAACGAUUGUCGGGACGAGACAUCGCACAAGCGCCGUUUUUCCGAGGCGGCUUGAUUCUGCGGUGCAGCAAUAUCGGGAAUAGUCGCGGUUCGGCCUCGCGGAUCCGACGAAAUCUUAGAGGAUAAGGCUUCAGGCGGUGGCUUUGGUCCGGCUGUAGCUCGAAAACCUAGGCAAAGAUAAGCAUGUAGAAAGUUUGUUGUUUCCCUGUUUGGACGAGGGUUCGAUCCCCUCCUAGUCCAC
Molecule: transfer-messenger RNA, 392 nt
Filed under: uncultured Prevotellamassilia sp.
Lineage: Bacteria; Pseudomonadati; Bacteroidota; Bacteroidia; Bacteroidales; Prevotellaceae
Rfam family: transfer-messenger RNA
About the family: Bacterial tmRNA, also known as 10Sa RNA or SsrA, is named for its dual tRNA and mRNA-like properties.
Source: RNAcentral